GACGAACGCUGGCGGCGUGCUUAACACAUGCAAGUCGAGCGGUAAGGCCCUUUCGGGGGUACGACGAGCGGCGAACGGGUGAGUAACACGUGGGUGACCUGCCCUCAGCUCUGGGAUAAGCCUGGGAAACUGGGUCUAAUACCGGAUAUGACUCCAUGACGCAUGUUGUGGGGUGGAAAGCCUUGUGCGGCUGAGGAUGGGCCCGCGGCCUAUCAGCUUGUUGGUGGGGUGAGGCCUACCAAGGCGACGACGGGUAGCCGGCCUGAGAGGGCGACCGGCCACACUGGGACUGAGACACGGCCCAGACUCCUACGGGAGGCAGCAGUGGGGAAUCUUGCGCAAUGGGCGAAAGCCUGACGCAGCGACGCCGCGUGAGGGAUGACGGCCUCGGUUGUAA
RNAcentral lists this ribosomal RNA (397 nucleotides) under uncultured bacterium. RNAcentral's name for it is "bacterial SSU rRNA". It matches the Rfam family "Bacterial small subunit ribosomal RNA", at positions 28 to 428 of the family's 1533-position model. The record is from RNAcentral.